UGAAAGAUUGAUUUGGUGAAUGUUGAUUAUUUUGUUAAUUGUUGAACACGAUAGUAUCAUGUUUAGGCCAAAAUUGAUAGGCAAAUUCUAAGUUUUGGAGUAGGCAACUUGUAGGAUUCUAAUCAUCGAAUGUGUAAAUGUUUGUGUUGAGUGAUUUUCUCCAUUUUAAUCACAUUUUAUUGAAUGUAUUCAUUUAGCCGGGGAAUGCCCCAAGGCUCAUUGUAUUUAUUCAUCGAG
RNAcentral lists this long non-coding RNA (237 nucleotides) under Capsicum annuum. Its description in RNAcentral is "long non-coding RNA (CANN_LNC001795)". Lineage: Eukaryota; Viridiplantae; Streptophyta; Magnoliopsida; Solanales; Solanaceae. The record is from RNAcentral.